Molecule: ribosomal RNA, 486 nt
Filed under: uncultured Lachnospiraceae bacterium
Lineage: Bacteria; Bacillati; Bacillota; Clostridia; Lachnospirales; Lachnospiraceae
Description: bacterial SSU rRNA
Rfam family: Bacterial small subunit ribosomal RNA
Source: RNAcentral
AGAGUUUGAUCCUGGCUCAGGAUGAACGCUGGCGGCGUGCUUAACACAUGCAAGUCGAACGAAGCAGGAGGGUGCUUGCACCUUCCUGCUGAGUGGCGGACGGGUGAGUAACACGUGGAUAAUCUGCCCUGCACAGGGGGACAACAGCUAGAAAUGGCUGCUAAUACCGCAUAAGCCUACAGCCUCGCAUGAGGGAGCAGGAAAAGAAAUUCGGUGCAGGAUGAGUCCGCGUCUGAUUAGCUAGUUGGAGGGGUAAAAGCCCACCAAGGCAACGAUCAGUAGCCGGCCUGAGAGGGUGACCGGCCACAUUGGGACUGAGACACGGCCCAAACUCCUACGGGAGGCAGCAGUGGGGAAUAUUGCACAAUGGGGGAAACCCUGAUGCAGCGACGCCGCGUGAGCGAGGAAGUAUUUCGGUAUGUAAAGCUCUAUCAGCAGGGACGAAAAAAGACGGUACCUGACUAAGAAGCCCCGGCUAACUACGUG